UACAGAGACUGCAAGCGUUAUUCGGAUUCACUGGGCGUAAAGGGUGCGCAGGCGGCCAAGUGUGUGAGGCGUGAAAGCCUGGGGCUUAACUCCAGAAUUGCACCUCAAACUACAUGGCUAGAGCAUUGGAGAGGGUAGCAGAAUUCACGGUGUAGCAGUGAAAUGCGUAGAUAUCGUGAGGAAUACCAGAGGCGAAGGCUGGCUACCUGGACAAUUGCUGACGCUCAGGCACGAAAGCGUGGGGAGCAAAAGGG
This 254-nucleotide ribosomal RNA is filed under the name uncultured bacterium. RNAcentral's name for it is "partial 16S ribosomal RNA". It matches the Rfam family "Bacterial small subunit ribosomal RNA", at positions 524 to 776 of the family's 1533-position model. The record is from RNAcentral.